GACGUAGGGGACGAGCGUUGUCCGGAUUCAUUGGGCGUAAAGCGCGCGUAGGCGGUUACGCAAGUCGGUUGUGAAAGCCCCCGGCUCAACUGGGGAGGGUCACGCGAUACUGCUCGACUCGAAGGCAGGAGAGGGAAGUGGAAUUCCCGGUGUAGUGGUGAAAUGCGUAGAUAUCGGGAGGAACACCGGUGGCGAAGGCGGGUCUCUGGGCCGUAACUGACGCUGAGGAGCGAAAGCAUGGGGAGCGAACAGG
Molecule: ribosomal RNA, 253 nt
Filed under: uncultured bacterium
Lineage: Bacteria
Description: partial 16S ribosomal RNA
Rfam family: Bacterial small subunit ribosomal RNA
Source: RNAcentral